RNAcentral lists this ribosomal RNA (269 nucleotides) under uncultured prokaryote. RNAcentral describes it as "partial 16S ribosomal RNA". It matches the Rfam family "Bacterial small subunit ribosomal RNA", at positions 524 to 792 of the family's 1533-position model. The record is from RNAcentral.
UACGUAGGGGCGAGCGUUGUCCGGAAUUAUUGGGCGUAAAGGGUUCGUAGGCGGUAAUACAUGUCAGAUGUGAAAUACUUGUGGCUUAACCACAUCAAGCAUCUGAAACUGUAUAACCUGAGUGGAGGAGAGGUAAGUGGAAUUCCUAGUGUAGCGGUGAAAUGCGUAGAUAUUAGGAAGAAUACCAGUAGCGAAGGCGACUUACUGGCCUCUAACUGACGCUGAUGAACGAAAGCGUGGGUAGGCAAACAGGAUUAGAUACCCUGGUA